RNAcentral lists this ribosomal RNA (427 nucleotides) under Microvirga ossetica. RNAcentral describes it as "partial 16S ribosomal RNA". It matches the Rfam family "Bacterial small subunit ribosomal RNA", at positions 355 to 774 of the family's 1533-position model. The record is from RNAcentral. Lineage: Bacteria; Pseudomonadati; Pseudomonadota; Alphaproteobacteria; Hyphomicrobiales; Methylobacteriaceae. RNAcentral also lists the same sequence under 2 other names.
UGGGGAAUAUUGGACAAUGGGCGAAAGCCUGAUCCAGCCAUGCCGCGUGUGUGAAGAAGGUCUUCGGAUUGUAAAGCACUUUAAGUUGGGAGGAAGGGUUGUAGAUUAAUACUCUGCAAUUUUGACGUUACCGACAGAAUAAGCACCGGCUAACUCUGUGCCAGCAGCCGCGGUAAUACAGAGGGUGCAAGCGUUAAUCGGAAUUACUGGGCGUAAAGCGCGCGUAGGUGGUUUGUUAAGUUGGAUGUGAAAUCCCCGGGCUCAACCUGGGAACUGCAUCCAAAACUGGCAAGCUAGAGUAUGGUAGAGGGUGGUGGAAUUUCCUGUGUAGCGGUGAAAUGCGUAGAUAUAGGAAGGAACACCAGUGGCGAAGGCGACCACCUGGACUGAUACUGACACUGAGGUGCGAAAGCGUGGGGAGCAAACA